Long non-coding RNA from Fundulus heteroclitus (mummichog), 1126 nucleotides. RefSeq lists it as uncharacterized. The record is from RefSeq and is a predicted model, not a curated record. The transcript is spliced from 3 exons. Lineage: Eukaryota; Metazoa; Chordata; Actinopteri; Cyprinodontiformes; Fundulidae.
AGUAUUUCACUACCUCUCAGGGUGCCUUCAACACCAGUACCACCACUCCUGUAGCACCACCCUUUGCCGGAGCUAUUGUCACCUCUGGCUUCACACCCAAACCAAAGCUCUAAUCACUUCCAAAAGAAGCGGUCGAUGGUGUCAUAAUGCUCUCCGUGCUACAAUCCUCUUCCACCAUCCAGUAUGGCCGUGAUAGCAACUCCACAAUCUAGAAGACCCCUUGAGGAAUUGCAGCAUCCAGCAUAUUCCUAGGAAGAAAUUCAAGAAACUUAUUUUGGUUUGGUGCCCUUGGCCUUCAUUACUGCUGUAAAAACUGCGCUGCUCCAUUUGCUGAAAUCUGCAAUCAAACAGUUUCUAGGAGAAAACUGUUACGGUUCUAUGAAAGCUACAGCGAUCCCAUCUAAGAAAGCAAAGUACUUUGACUAAUCUGAGCCAGUCCAAAACAGAGUCUACAAGUCCCUGAAGGUGUGGUCUAUGUUGGCAGACCUUGAGGAGAGCCUUGGUACUUUCCAGGUAUGCACAUAAAUUUGUGAAUAAUGAUAAAAAUCAGAGACCGAUCCAUAGUUUUCUGUUCAUCCCAUUUGUCUUGUUAUUUUAUUUUUAAUCAUCAGUCUACAAAAGCAUGUACGACCGGAUUAUUGAUCUACGCACUCUACGGCACUCCUCACUGUUAGAGGAGUAUGGAUUAGCGCGACAUGCCAUGGCUGUCUAUGAAAGACCAACACAGGCCGUGGAAAUGGAUGAGAGACACCAUAUGUUUAAUAUCUACAUCAAGAGAGCAGCUGAAAUUUAUGGAGUUACAUAUACCAGAGCUAUUUACCUAUUGAGGUGAAAGCAAAUUUCUGGCAGACCUGGAAUUUUGAGAUCCGGCAUGGAAAUGAGGAUACAAUUAGGGAAAUGUUGAGAAUCAAACGCAGUGUCCAGGCUACGUACAACACUCAGGUCAACUUUAUGUCCUCUCAAAUGCUGAAGGCUUCAACCAGCACCGGUAAGAAAAAGCAGAUUUCACAGUUGGACCCUCAGUCGUGUAUUUUUUUUUUUUUUAACAUUAAAUCUUUGUAUCUGGUUAAUUCGCUCCGGGAAGCCUCUGAUGGUUUUACCAUUGUUGAAAGGCUGUAAUACUUCA